AGCUAUAACUAUACACCUGAAAUUCAUUUCUACAUCAUUCAAAGAGCCACUUCAGAAACAAAGGCACAGAAACCCAAAGUGAACAAAAUUACCACAAGAGAGUGGAUUCAAGGGCCGUGGAGAACAGUGGACUGGGAAGAAAAUUCCUCGGAAGACAACUCAGAACCCUAUCAAGGGUCGGUUAGAAGCUCAUGACCAUAUAGGGGCAGCAUGAAUAGACACAGUUAAAUGAAAUUUGACAGCUACAAUGAAGCAUCUGAUUUGCAAUAUUCCUUAAUAUCAAGAUAAUGGAUUGCAUUUUUAGUAAGUUUUCAGUAAUACAAUACUUUAACCAAAACACAAAUGAAGCUGGUUAUAGAAAAAAAUGGAGAUGCAUAGGAACCCAGCUUCUCCAUCCUCCCACAAAGAUCAAUGACUGCACAGCUAACUGAACAAGAACAGCUUCAGAAGACUUCUAGAGUCCAAUUAGGAAAUUUUAGCAACACCAUGAAAAACAAAUAUGAAUAAUGAUAUCCCAACAAGAGAAGGAAGAGAACUUAUUUUGCCUCUGUCAUCAGAUUCCUCAAGCUGGCAUUGUUCACUACAGAGGAGGAAAUUGACAACCAAAAAGAUUCUCUUGGCAGCAAAAGAGGAGUGGGGUGAAUAGCCAGUUUUUUUUUUUUAAAGAUUUUUUUUUAAAUAUUUGUUUAUGCAAAGAAAAACUGGGGUAAUCUAGCAACUGGGUAUAUACUCAAAGGAAAAAAAAAUCAGUAUCUUGAACGGGUAUCUCAUUCUUGUGUUCAUUGUAGCAUUAUCCAUAGUAACCGUUAUAUGGAAGCAACCUCGGUGUUUUUCAAUAGAUGAAAGGAUAAAAAUGAGUGUGUGUGUGUGCACACAAAUACACACUAUGGAAAUUUUUCAGUUAUAAGAAAGGAUGAAAAUUUGCUACUUAGACAACAUAGAUGGGCCUUGAAGGCAUUAUGCUGGUUGAAAUAAGUCAAAGAAAAACAAAUGCUAUAUAAUAUCAUUUAUAUGUAGAAUAUAAAAUUAAACUCUAACACAGUGACAGUGGACAGCAAAUUUGGGUAAGGAGAUGUCAAAGUGUAGAAACGUCCACUUAUAAAUCAUAUUUGAGGAACAAAUAUAUAGUAUAAUGAUUAUUGUUAAUAAUACAUUAUAUACUUGAAUGUUGCUGAGAGAUGAUCUUAAAUUUUCUCACUACACAAAAGAAAUGACAAGGUAAGGAGAUGGAGGUGUUAGCUAAUAGUAUGGUGGUAAUCAUCUUGCAAUAUAUAUACAUCUAUGAAAUCAACCCUUUGUAGAUUGUAAACUUACAAAAUAUGUCAAUUAUAUUCCAAUAAAGCUGGGGUCUAGGGAGGAGAAGAAGAUAUAGAAAAAGAAAAAUGAGGAAAACAGCAUAAUUUCUUGUGAGAUCUACCACUAUCAAAUAUUAGAAAUUUAUACAUUUCCAAAGUAAUUUCAAACUUAACUUUAUAAUCUUUUCUUGAAACUUUAUGUAUAAUUUUCAACUACAGGCCCCAUCUGUUCAGAUUUUUUCCCUACACUUAAAAAAAAAUCCAUAUAUAAUUGAAGUAUUUUUCUCUGAACCAAAGAAUAUGUUGCAGAUUUGACAUCUUAGCCUUGUAAAUUAUGAAUGUUUCCUAACAAAAAAAGUAAUUCUUUCCCAUUACCACAAUGCCAUGACCAGAAUCAGGAAGUAAACAUUGAUACACUAUUUAAGUUAUGGACCUUACUAGCAUUAAACAUAACUCAUUCCAGCAAUGUGUAAUUAGAGCGAAAAAUAUAAUGUGUUGUGUUUCAGAUCUAUAAUAAACUUUUCAUCAUCCCCAUUUAGCCUCCUUUAGUCUAGAAUGGUUUCAGUCUUUAUUUUGUGGGAGGUUUGACUUUUGAAGAGACAUACAUUUAUUUUGUGGAGUGUCCCAUAAUCAUGUUUAAUAUCUUCUCAUGAACAGAUUCAAAGGAUUUACAUUUGGUAAAAAAAAAAAAAUCACAGAAGUGGUAUUAUGUCAAUUUCAGUGCAUCUUGUCAGGAGGCAUAUAUCCUAUGUUAAUCCUGUUAAUGACAACUUUAGUCACAAGCUAAGGUGGUAUCUACCAGCCAUUUCUGUUUUUCCUUUUUUAAUUUGUAAGCAUUUCUUGGGGGACGGCAUUCUGAGACUGUUACUUUGUUCCUUAAAGUUUCAUCCAUUUG
Talpa occidentalis (Iberian mole) is the source of this 2190-nucleotide long non-coding RNA. RefSeq lists it as uncharacterized. The record is from RefSeq and is a predicted model, not a curated record. The transcript has 4 exons. NCBI's taxonomy places the organism in Eukaryota, Metazoa, Chordata, Mammalia, Eulipotyphla, Talpidae.